This 430-nucleotide non-coding RNA is filed under the name Pongo abelii (Sumatran orangutan). The record is from RNAcentral. Lineage: Eukaryota; Metazoa; Chordata; Mammalia; Primates; Hominidae.
GCAGGCACUCUCAGACCACAGCCUGCUGGCCCCAGCACCCGGUCUUGCUCCCAGCCUCUUCCCACCACAGCAGCCUCUUCCCUCCGGAUUCAGCUCAGGUGCUCAGAACUGCCAGGACCCAGAGGAUUCACAUGCCAGCCCCGGCUGAAGCCCAGCUCCUCAUCAACCGGUGAGCCGCCUGCCAGCUCCUGCUUUGGCUGCCGAGAGGCCUGAAGUGACUAAGACAGAGACACAGCCCCGCAGCACCACAGGGAGGCCCCAAUUACCCCAUGCGGAUGAGUUUCAUGGCCACCUCUAACUAAGGAAAGGACAUCGAUGUCAUCUGUAACUUCCGGUGCACUGGGGCACACAGCUGCAUCUCCCCAUGCUCACCUCCUGCCUCUUGCUCUGCCCAGUAAGCUCGCCAACCCCGCAGACUGCUGGCUCUCAG